RNAcentral lists this ribosomal RNA (113 nucleotides) under Meloidogyne incognita (southern root-knot nematode). RNAcentral describes it as "partial 18S ribosomal RNA". It matches the Rfam family "Eukaryotic small subunit ribosomal RNA", at positions 1641 to 1755 of the family's 1831-position model. The record is from RNAcentral. Lineage: Eukaryota; Metazoa; Nematoda; Chromadorea; Rhabditida; Meloidogynidae.
UUGAUUACGUCCCUGCCCUUUGUACACACCGCCCGUCGCUGCCCGGGACUGAGCCAUUUCGAGAAAUUUGGGGACCGUUGAUUUAAUUUUUCUAAAUUACUUUGAUGGAAACC